RNAcentral lists this ribosomal RNA (429 nucleotides) under Chloroflexota bacterium. RNAcentral's name for it is "Chloroflexi bacterium partial 16S ribosomal RNA". It matches the Rfam family "Bacterial small subunit ribosomal RNA", at positions 355 to 776 of the family's 1533-position model. Lineage: Bacteria; Bacillati; Chloroflexota. The record is from RNAcentral.
UGGGGAAUAUUGCACAAUGGGCGCAAGCCUGAUGCAGCCAUGCCGCGUGUGUGAAGAAGGCCUUCGGGUUGUAAAGCACUUUCAGCGGGGAGGAAGGCGAUAAGGUUAAUAACCUUGUCGAUUGACGUUACCCGCAGAAGAAGCACCGGCUAACUCCGUGCCAGCAGCCGCGGUAAUACGGAGGGUGCAAGCGUUAAUCGGAAUUACUGGGCGUAAAGCGCACGCAGGUGGUCUGUCAAGUCGGAUGUGAAAUCCCCGGGCUUAACCUGGGAACUGCAUUCGAAACUGGCAGGCUAGAGUCUUGUAGAGGGGGGUAGAAUUCCAGGUGUAGCGGUGAAAUGCGUAGAGAUCUGGAGGAAUACCGGUGGCGAAGGCGGCCCCCUGGACAAAGACUGACGCUCAGGUGCGAAAGCGUGGGGAGCAAACAGG